This 301-nucleotide ribosomal RNA is filed under the name uncultured bacterium. Its description in RNAcentral is "partial 16S ribosomal RNA". It matches the Rfam family "Bacterial small subunit ribosomal RNA", at positions 509 to 807 of the family's 1533-position model. The record is from RNAcentral.
CAGUCGCCACGGUAAUACGAAGGGUGCAAGCGUUAAUCGGAAUUACUGGGCGUAAAGCGUGCGUAGGCGGUGAGUUAAGUCUGUUGUGAAAUCCCCGGGCUCAACCUGGGAAUUGUAGUGGAUACUGGGUCACUAGAGUGUGGUAGAGGAUAGUGGAAUUUCCGGUGUAGCAGUGAAAUGCGUAGAGAUCGGAAGGAACAUCUGUGGCGAAGGCGACUAUCUGGGCCAACACUGACACUGAGGCACGAAAGCGUGGGGAGCAAACAGGAUUAGAUACCCGAGUAGUCCCUGUCUCUUAUAC